This 73-nucleotide transfer RNA is filed under the name Buchnera aphidicola (Periphyllus lyropictus). RNAcentral describes it as "tRNA-Val". It matches the Rfam family "tRNA". From Rfam's summary of the family: Transfer RNA (tRNA) molecules are approximately 80 nucleotides in length. Their secondary structure includes four short double-helical elements and three loops (D, anti-codon, and T loops). Lineage: Bacteria; Pseudomonadati; Pseudomonadota; Gammaproteobacteria; Enterobacterales; Erwiniaceae. The record is from RNAcentral.
ACGUUUGUAGCUCAAUAGGUAGAGCACUACUAUGACAUAGUAGAGGUCAGUGGUUCAAUUCCACUCAAACGUA